GACGAACGCUGGCGGCGUGCCUAACACAUGCAAGUCGAGCGAAUGAAGUUCCUUCGGGAAUGGAUUUAGCGGCGGACGGGUGAGUAACACGUGGGCAACCUGCCUCAUAGAGGGGAAUAGCCUUCCGAAAGGGAGAUUAAUACCGCAUAAGAUUGUAGUACCGCAUGGUAUAGCAAUUAAAGGAGCAAUCCGCUAUGAGAUGGACCCACGUCGCAUUAGCUAGUUGGUGAGGUAACGGCUCACCAAGGCGACGAGGCGUAGCCGACCUGAGAGGGUGAUCGGCCACAUUGGGACUGAGACACGGCCCAGACUCCUACGGGAGGCAGCAGUGGGGAAUAUUGCACAAUGGGGGAAACCCUGAUGCAGCAACGCCGCGUGAGUGAUGACGGUCUUCGGAUUGUAAAGCUCUGUCUUCAGGGACGAUAAUGACGGUACCUGAGGAGGAAGCCACGGCUAACUACGUGCCAGCAGCCGCCGUAA
RNAcentral lists this ribosomal RNA (480 nucleotides) under uncultured bacterium. RNAcentral describes it as "partial 16S ribosomal RNA". It matches the Rfam family "Bacterial small subunit ribosomal RNA", at positions 28 to 523 of the family's 1533-position model. The record is from RNAcentral.